UGCCAGCAGCCGCGGUAAUACGAGGGGAGCAAGCGUUGUCCGGAUUUAUUGGGCGUAAAGAGUUCGCAGGCUGAUUUAUAAGUCGAAAUUGAAAUCCAAUGGCUUAACCAUUGACACGGUUUCGAUACUGUAAAUCUUGAAUUAUGCAGAGGUAAGUGGAAUUCCUGGUGUAGCGAUGAAAUUCGUAGAUAUCAGGAGGAACACCUGUGGCGAAAGCGACUUCCUGGCCCGAAACUGACGCUCAUGUUCGAAAGCGUGGGGAGCAAACAGGAUUAGAUA
Molecule: ribosomal RNA, 279 nt
Filed under: uncultured bacterium
Lineage: Bacteria
Description: partial 16S ribosomal RNA
Rfam family: Bacterial small subunit ribosomal RNA
Source: RNAcentral